CCUACGGGAGGCUGCAGUGAGGAAUAUUGGUCAAUGGACGAGAGUCUGAACCAGCCAAGUAGCGUGAAGGAUGACUGCCCGAUGGGUUGUAAACUUCUUUUAUAUGGGAAUAAAAUGUUCCACGUGUGGGAUUUUGUAUGUACCAUAGGAAUAAGGAUCGGCUAACUCCGUGCCAGCAGCCGCGAUAAUACGGAGGAUCCGAGCGUUAUCCGGAUUUAUUGGGUUUAAAGGGAGCGUAGGUGGAUUGUUAAGUCAGUUGUGAAAGUUUGCGGCUCAACCGUAAAAUUGCAGUUGAAACUGGCAGUCUUGAGUACAGUAGAGGUGGGCGGAAUUCGUGGUGUAGCGGUGAAAUGCUUAGAUAUCACGAAGAACUCCGAUUGCGAAGGCAGUUCACUGGACUGCAACUGACACUGAGGCUCGAAAGUGUGGGUAUCAAACAGGAUUAGAUACCCGAGUAGUC
RNAcentral lists this ribosomal RNA (460 nucleotides) under uncultured bacterium. Its description in RNAcentral is "partial 16S ribosomal RNA". It matches the Rfam family "Bacterial small subunit ribosomal RNA", at positions 338 to 795 of the family's 1533-position model. The record is from RNAcentral.